This 469-nucleotide ribosomal RNA is filed under the name uncultured bacterium. Its description in RNAcentral is "partial 16S ribosomal RNA". It matches the Rfam family "Bacterial small subunit ribosomal RNA", at positions 28 to 507 of the family's 1533-position model. The record is from RNAcentral.
GACGAACGCUGGCGGCGUGCUUAACACAUGCAAGUCGAACGGUGAAGCGAGUGCUUGCACUCGUGGAUCAGUGGCGGACGGGUGAGUAACACGUGAGUAACCUGCCCAUCACUCUGGGAUAAGCACUGGAAACGGUGUCUAAUACUGGAUACGACCAACCCUUGCAUGGGGUGUUGGUGGAAAGAUUUAUCGGUGAUGGAUGGACUCGCGGCCUAUCAGCUUGUUGGCGGGGUAAUGGCCCACCAAGGCGACGACGGGUAGCCGGCCUGAGAGGGUGACCGGCCACACUGGGACUGAGACACGGCCCAGACUCCUACGGGAGGCAGCAGUGGGGAAUAUUGCACAAUGGGCGAAAGCCUGAUGCAGCGACGCCGCGUGAGGGAUGACGGCCUUCGGGUUGUAAACCUCUUUCAGCAGGGAAGAAGCGAAAGUGACGGUACCUGCAGAAGAAGCACCGGCUAACUACGUG